RNAcentral lists this ribosomal RNA (372 nucleotides) under uncultured organism. RNAcentral's name for it is "bacterial SSU rRNA". It matches the Rfam family "Bacterial small subunit ribosomal RNA", at positions 526 to 896 of the family's 1533-position model. The record is from RNAcentral.
CGGGGGGGGCAAGCGUUGUUCGGAAUUACUGGGCGUAAAGGGCUCGUAGGCGGCCAACUAAGUCGGACGUGAAAUCCCUCGGCUCAACCGGGGAACUGCGUCUGAUACUGGAUGGCUUGAAUCCGGAAGAGGGAUGCGGAAUUCCAGGUGUAGCGGUGAAAUGCGUAGAUAUCUGGAGGAACACCGGUGGCGAAGGCGGCAUCCUGGGUCGGUAUUGACGCUGAGGAGCGAAAGCCAGGGGAGCAAGCGGGAUUAGAUACCCCGGUAGUCCUGGCCCUAAACGAUGAAUGCUUGGUGUGGUGGGUAUCGAUCCCUGCCGUGCCGAAGCUAACGCAUUAAGCAUUCCGCCUGGGGAGUACGGUCGCAAGGCUG